Molecule: ribosomal RNA, 601 nt
Filed under: uncultured bacterium
Lineage: Bacteria
Description: bacterial SSU rRNA
Rfam family: Bacterial small subunit ribosomal RNA
Source: RNAcentral
CCAGACUCCUACGGGAGGCAGCAGUAGGGAAUCUUCGGCAAUGGACGAAAGUCUGACCGAGCAACGCCGCGUGAGUGAAGAAGGUUUUCGGAUCGUAAAACUCUGUUGGUAGAGAAGAACGUUGGUGAGAGUGGAAAGCUCAUCAAGUGACGGUAACUACCCAGAAAGGGACGGCUAACUACGUGCCAGCAGCCGCGGUAAUACGUAGGUCCCGAGCGUUGUCCGGAUUUAUUGGGCGUAAAGCGAGCGCAGGUGGUUUAUUAAGUCUGGUGUAAAAGGCAGUGGCUCAACCAUUGUAUGCAUUGGAAACUGGUAGACUUGAGUGCAGGAGAGGAGAGUGGAAUUCCAUGUGUAGCGGUGAAAUGCGUAGAUAUAUGGAGGAACACCGGUGGCGAAAGCGGCUCUCUGGCCUGUAACUGACACUGAGGCUCGAAAGCGUGGGGAGCAAACAGGAUUAGAUACCCUGGUAGUCCACGCCGUAAACGAUGAGUGCUAGAUGUAGGGAGCUAUAAGUUCUCUGUAUCGCAGCUAACGCAAUAAGCACUCCGCCUGGGGAGUACGACCGCAAGGUUGAAACUCAAAGGAAUUGACGGGGGCCCGC